UGAGUAACCUGCCUUUAACUCUGGGAUAAGCCUGGGAAACUGGGUCUAAUACCGGAUAUGACUCCUCAUCGCAUGGUGGGGGGUGGAAAGCUUUUUGUGGUUUUGGAUGGACUCGCGGCCUAUCAGCUUGUUGGUGAGGUAAUGGCUCACCAAGGCGACGACGGGUAGCCGGCCUGAGAGGGUGACCGGCCACACUGGGACUGAGACACGGCCCAGACUCCUACGGGAGGCAG
RNAcentral lists this ribosomal RNA (233 nucleotides) under uncultured bacterium. Its description in RNAcentral is "partial 16S ribosomal RNA". It matches the Rfam family "Bacterial small subunit ribosomal RNA", at positions 118 to 351 of the family's 1533-position model. The record is from RNAcentral.